GGGUUUGGGGAGAUCAGCGCCUGGUACCGGCAAGGCUUUUUUUUGCAACUGAUGGAAAAGUUGGGUGAAAGGGUGGGGUGGGGGGGUGCAGGUCUUCCUCAUCUGGAAAAAAAGUGGGUCGCGCUUUUUUUUUGUUUUAGUGGGGGAAGAAAAAGCCAGCGUUUCCUCCUCUCUCCGCAAGUUUCUCUAUAUUUUUUUCCUGGUCCAGUUGGGAAUCUUUACAGCCCCAAAGCCGGGAUCAGCUCGGGAUAAGGCGCCGUGGAAACUUGGCUGUUCCAGCUCCUUCUAGGAGGCGAGAGAAAAGCUCACUCCUAGCGCGCAACAGGUUCCAGGACUGCACUUGGACGUACCUUUUUCUGUUUGAAAACCUCCGCGUGAAUUUGAGAAUUCUGAGUCAGGAGCGUGGUGAGGGAUUUCUCCAUCUCAGUUGAGCUGUUACAAUGGCGUUUCCUUUAGAAAGAAAAUAAUCUUAUUCUUGACAUGAACUCCCACACGGUGACUGACAUCAAACCUGUUCUGCUCUCGGCUGAUUUCCACAAUACAGCUGCGCGGAGAAACACAGAGACAACUUGAUCUUAACCGACGACGGGGAGGGUUAUUUGCAGUAGCCAAGAGCACUGUGUUGGAAGGGACCGCGGAGCCAGCCAAAUAAAACAACAGAAACAACAAAAUCAUUAUGGGCCAGUCCUUGAUAGACAAGGCCACAGAUUCAGUUGGACGUCCCGAUUUCUAUCGGAGAAAUGUUGGAGGGUAUGAAGUUAUGCGACCCUCAAGCCAAGGAGAAAAGUAACUAAGCAACCUAUAGAAGACAUCUGAAGGAAUGUUUAAUUUGGAAUUGGAGAAUUGGUUUUCUUAAUUGUAUUGUGAUUUGGUAUUGUAUUAAUGUGGCAUGCGUUGGAUUAAUAUCAAGGAAAAAUUAAUAUUUAACAAAACAAAAACAGAAGACACCUGACGGCAGCCCUGUAUAGGGAAGUUUUUUUAAAAAAUGUUUAAUGUUUUAUUAUGUUUUUAUAUAUGUUGAAAGCUGCCCAGAGUGGCUGGGGCAACCCAGUCAGAUGAGCGGGGUAGAAAUAAUACAAUUAUUAUUAUGCAAUAGGAUGUCCCUACUUUCAUCAGAGAAAUGUUGGCAGCUGAGUUCUCUUACCUUUUAAAAAUCAAAUAUUUGUGUGUGCAUGGGGCUCUGGAACGGAUAUACCAUAUUUUUCCGUGUAUAAGACGCUCCCA
Podarcis raffonei (Aeolian wall lizard) is the source of this 1224-nucleotide long non-coding RNA. RefSeq lists it as uncharacterized. NCBI's taxonomy places the organism in Eukaryota, Metazoa, Chordata, Lepidosauria, Squamata, Lacertidae. The record is from RefSeq and is a predicted model, not a curated record. The transcript has 5 exons.